This 819-nucleotide long non-coding RNA is filed under the name Phaseolus vulgaris (common bean). RNAcentral describes it as "long non-coding RNA (PVUL_LNC004659)". Lineage: Eukaryota; Viridiplantae; Streptophyta; Magnoliopsida; Fabales; Fabaceae. The record is from RNAcentral.
AAAUUUAGAAGGCUUGGAGACAAUUUCACAUUGAAGGUUUAACAUCGAUUUAGACAAGACACCAUCAAAUUUAUUCCAAUGAUAUGAGUUGCUUCGUAUAAAGGUGGAUUAUUAUGAUGAUGUUGUGCUUAGCUAUAAAUGUAAUUUUCUAUCUUUACAACCUCGGAAUCACCAAGGUAAUCAUGUCUAACCUCAUACAUAACUUUGCUUAAAACACGAGGCUUAGUUAGCAAGUUAAACUUAUCAUCUCUUGUAUUAUUGUUGGACAACACUACGUAUACAAUAUUCGUUAUUGGAUACUAUAAAAUUGAAUCAGUGUUUUUGUUUACACAUGCAGAGAAAUUCAAAAUGAAUGGGUCCACUGGCUGCAAGAAGUAUCUCUGCUAAAGAGGUUUUGGCAGAGAAUAACAGUACUAAGGAGUAACUAACGAAAAAGAUAGCUAAUCUAUAGGACUUAUAAAAAAGGGUCCAAAGAUGUACUCUUAAUGACUAGACAUCCAUUCAUGUUUGGCUGGCUAGGUUGCCUAAACUCAAAUCAUUCAUUUAUUUUUCCUUACUUUAACAAAGACAGAAAAAAAGAAGAACAUAAAAUAUAUAUAUACGAAGGACAAAUCAGAGUAAAUUAAUGGCAUUUUGUAAACUGAAAAUCAUUACAUUGCUUUGCUGCUGAUUCUGUGUUCGGUACAUGUGCGUUUCAAGUGAUAACUCCUUCAAAAAAGUGCAUCAUUUCCAUUGUGUUGGAGCAUUAUACACACUUACUAGCUGUUUCUAAUCAGACUCCACAGAAGAUGUAAUAAUAUUGAUGGAUGCAAAGGAAAC